GAGGAAUAUUGGUCAAUGGGCGCAAGCCUGAACCAGCCAUCCCGCGUGAAGGAAGAAUGCGCUACGCGUUGUAAACUUCUUUUCCAGGGGGAGAAUAAUCCUGUCGUGACAGGACUUGACGGUACUCUGGGAAUAAGCAUCGGCUAACUCCGUGCCAGCAGCCGCGGUAAUACGGAGGAUGCGAGCGUUAUCCGGAUUUAUUGGGUUUAAAGGGUGCGUAGGCGGAUUGAUAAGUCAGUGGUGAAAUUCUACAGCUUAACUGUAGACUUGCCGUUGAUACUGUUAGUCUUGAGUGUGGUCAAGGCAGGCGGAAUGUGUAAUGUAGCGGUGAAAUGCUUAGAUAUUACACAGAACACCGAUUGCGAAGGCAGCUUGCUGGGUCAUUACUGACGCUGAUGCACGAAAGCGUGGGGAUCAAAC
This 420-nucleotide ribosomal RNA is filed under the name uncultured bacterium. Its description in RNAcentral is "bacterial SSU rRNA". It matches the Rfam family "Bacterial small subunit ribosomal RNA", at positions 356 to 773 of the family's 1533-position model. The record is from RNAcentral.